Molecule: small RNA, 2815 nt
Filed under: Pan troglodytes (chimpanzee)
Lineage: Eukaryota; Metazoa; Chordata; Mammalia; Primates; Hominidae
Description: retained intron
Source: RNAcentral
CCCUUGAUGUCGGUCGGAUGGGGGGGGCAGUGCUGGUUCCCUGUGGUGUUGGUCGGAUGGGGGGGCAGUGCUGGUUCCCUGUGGUGUUGGUCGGAUGGGGGGCAGUGCUGGUUCCCUGUGGUGUUGGUCGGAUGGGGGGGCAGUGCUGGUUCCCUGUGGUGUUGGUCGGAUGGGGGGGCAGUGCUGGUUCCCUGUGGUGUUGGUCGGAUGGGGGGGCAGUGCUGGUUCCCUGUGGUGUUGGUCGGAUGGGGGGCAGUGCUGGUUCCCUGUGGUGUUGGUCGGAUGGGGGGCAGUGCUGGUUCCCUGUGGUGUUGGUCGGAUGGGGGGGCAGUGCUGGUUCCCUGUGGUGUUGGUCGGAUGCGGGGACAGUGCUGGUUCCCUGUGGUGUUGGUCGGAUGGGGGGCAGUGCUGGUUCCUGUGGUGUUGGUCGGAUGGGGGGGCAGUGCUGGUUCCCUGUGGUGUUGGUCGGAUGGGGGGGCAGUGCUGGUUCCCUGUGGUGUUGGUCAGAUGGGGGGCAGUGCUGGUUCCCUGUGGUGGUGUCCCUUCUUGCUGUGCAGGGUGGAGGGCAUCUUCCCACGACCAAGGACCACUGACCUUCACCUUUUCUUUGAAGUAUGUUGUAUGUCUCACCCAUUUUUCUUUAAGGUUCUGGUCGUUUUAACUUUUAUACAACAUAUGGGUUGGAGAUAGUGGCCCUCUGAGGAGUGAAUUACAAAUGCCUUUCCCAGCUUAUCUUCGGAUUUUGCUCAUGGCAGUUUCUACCAUGUAAAACUUAUUUUUAUCUCAGUAUAAUCAGUCUUUCCUCUUCCUGCUGCUAAGUGGGUAAGAGCAUGCUCACACUCUGAGUCUUCAUGUUUUUCCUUUCCCCAGCCUGACAUUUACCCCGGUAACUGCUGGGCAUUUAAAGGCUCCCAGGGGUACCUGGUGGUGAGGCUCUCCAUGAUGAUCCACCCAGCCGCCUUCACUCUGGAGCACAUCCCUAAGACGCUGUCGCCAACAGGCAACAUCAGCAGCGCCCCCAAGGACUUCGCCGUCUAUGGAUUAGAAAAUGAGUAUCAGGAAGAAGGGCAGCUUCUGGGACAGUUCACGUAUGAUCAGGAUGGGGAGUCGCUCCAGAUGUUCCAGGCCCUGAAAAGACCCGACGACACAGCUUUCCAAAUAGUGGAACUUCGGAUUUUUUCUAACUGGGGCCAUCCUGAGUAUACCUGUCUGUAUCGGUUCAGAGUUCAUGGCGAACCUGUCAAGUGAAGACACUACUCAUUAUUUUUGUACAUUUUUGUAUAUACUGGGACAGCCUGAAACACUGGAAUCCUUCAUGGACGAGGGCAUAUACAAUGAUGGGACAGUGCCACACUCCUUCAAUAAACGUGGCUGCUGGCCAGAGGACGUGAGCGUGUGAUGGGCGCCUUGGCACCACCUGUUGGGUGCUCACUGCCUCUGCAGGUGCAGAGGGGUCAGCAGCAGGAGAAGCGUGUUGAACACGUGGCUCUCAGACACUCCUUGUUUUUAACGGGAAGCUCUUUGCAUUUGCAUUUCCUCGACAAAGGAGCAAAGCAGAGGAAGCUGAGAGUCUGGCGUGUUCUUGAUGCUUUGGUCUUCAGCCUUGCACUGGCUCUUCUAAAGGACUUUUGGAGGGCAGAUAAUUUCAUCUGUUAAAUCCAACACACAUUUCUUUCAGGGAAAAACAAUGUCACCAAAUUUUCAGAGUUCUAAACUCCUUUCCUUCAAGCCGGGAUUUUCCUUUUUUCAGCACCAGUAGGUACUAAGUCUCCAGACGGGGAAAUAACUAAAAUGUGUUUUUCUGCUUUGUUCGCUCUUACUUCUGAGGAAGGUUUCCAGUCAGGACUCGCUGUACCAAUAUCCGUGGAGGAAUAUGGGAGCGUUUUGCUCUCCUUGUAGGCUGAAGUCAGUCUGACUUGAAGGGGGCUGGUUUGGAUCUAAGCAAACACCCAGAUGGGGUUCUCUGGUCUCAGCAAGGCUUUUCCUGUUGGGAGUCACAGUAAACAGAAACCCAAAAAUCUCAUCUUGGGUGUUUUCAGGGCUCGUUUUGAGUUUUGCUGAAUAAGGAGCGCAAGACGCCCUGAGCCUCCCUCUCACUGGUGGUGAUAAGAGGAGCCGUCUGGUGUGUCAGGGUCACGAACCUGUUACAUUUCAGGACGAUCCUUUUUCCUUCAGCAGCAUUUCUUACUGGCUGUGGCUGGACUCUGCCUUUUAUCACAGCUGUCACCAUUCUCACGUGAUUCUUGUGAGACUCUUUGGUUAUAAUUACUAUUUAAUAUUUAGACUAUUUUACUGAGCAGACUUUAUAAUAAAUGAGAUAUCUACAAGGCACUUAAAGUGUUACAGAUGUUUUACCUUAAGAAUUAUUUAAGUUGUGUUAAGACAGUUUUCAGUGUACCGUAAAUGUUGUGUUUUCAGAAAAAGACAAAACGAUGGUGCUGACUGGUUUUCUGUAUAUUGCACAACAGUCCUCAAAUACACUGAUGUAUGAAACUAUUCAUACAUCAAGCAGCAUUUUUUUCACUCUCCUUAGAAUUGGAACUAUGCAGUUAAGGCAGAUAAAAUGUACAGAUGUUUCAUAUAUUACAGGUUACAUAUAUAAAUCAAAAUUUCCUAUAUAAAACUGAUUUGGGAUUUGGGGUGGAAAUAUUUUGAAUAUUAAUUUAUUUUUAAAGAUGCAAGAUAGGACUUUGUGCAAUGUAUUUUUGUAAAUGCUUUUCAAAAUAUCUGUCUUUGGUAGUGCUUCUUCUGCUGCCACCAAAUUGAUAAGAUGCUAUUAAGAGGUUUAAAUAAAGAGUUUUAAUUUUUAAAAGUG